This 301-nucleotide ribosomal RNA is filed under the name uncultured bacterium. Its description in RNAcentral is "partial 16S ribosomal RNA". It matches the Rfam family "Bacterial small subunit ribosomal RNA", at positions 509 to 809 of the family's 1533-position model. The record is from RNAcentral.
CAGUAGCCACGGGAAUACGAAGGGGGCUAGCGUUGUUCGGAAUUACUGGGCGUAAAGCGCACGUAGGCGGAUAUUUAAGUCAGGGGUGAAAUCCCAGAGCUCAACUCUGGAACUGCCUUUGAUACUGGGUAUCUUGAGUAUGGAAGAGGUGAGUGGAAUUCCGAGUGUAGAGGUGAAAUUCGUAGAAAUUCGGAGGAACACCAGUGGCGAAGGCGGCUCACUGGUCCAUUACUGACGCUAAGGUGCGAAAGCGUGGGGGGCAAACAGGAUUAGAUACCCCUGUAGUCCCUGUCUCUUAUAA